AGCCAUGUAUUAAAAGUGGAUUAUAAUAUCUAUAUAACAAAAGAGUUAAAAAAAAAAAAUGUCAAAAACAACCGUUGUGUUUUAUCAUAUAAUUAAUGAUAAAGAAGACAAAAAUUCACAAAAUGUAUUUUAUAUUUGUAAGCCAAUAAAUUUGAUAACAUUAAAUGACAUUAAAAAUGAAUUUCCUUUAGUAGGAACGUAUCAUUUCAGAUUUAAAAUUAUUCAUAACAAUACUCCAGUAUGGGUAGAUAUAAAUGACGGGUCUUCUCCUAUACCUAGUUUGAAUUCUUGUAUUUACGCAAAAGUUUUAAGAUUGAGUUGGUUGGACGAUAAAAAAACAUUAAAAAAAUUACCCGAAAAAAAACAAUCGAACAAGAUGUAUCAAAGUUGUAUAGUAAUGAAAAAAUUAAUUUACUAG
Molecule: long non-coding RNA, 418 nt
Filed under: Piliocolobus tephrosceles (Ugandan red Colobus)
Lineage: Eukaryota; Metazoa; Chordata; Mammalia; Primates; Cercopithecidae
Description: lncRNA (ENSPTEG00000013480.1)
Source: RNAcentral